Non-coding RNA from Arachis ipaensis, 342 nucleotides. Lineage: Eukaryota; Viridiplantae; Streptophyta; Magnoliopsida; Fabales; Fabaceae. The record is from RefSeq and is a predicted model, not a curated record.
AAAAUACCCUCACACUAUCUGAUUCCAACCCUAAUUGAAGAACUAACGCGCUGCCGCAUACACUGUUUCUGUAAGGUAACGACGCCUACCACUGGGAUCUACUCCGGCGCGAUCUGCUCCAGCGACAACUUUCUCCACCAAGGAUCUCCUCAGCGGCGUUCUCCUCCGACUAGAAUCUCCUUGCCGUUCACCGCCAUCGUUCAUCUCCUCGCUGCUGCCUUCAAUGAGCUUCUACGAUCUCGUUCUGGCUUCGAUCUAAAGACUCUCGUCUUCAAUCCCAGCAUGGCCAAGUCAAUCCACCACGCCAGGUCCUGAUCCGCCAGCGCCACAUUAUGUCUUCCU